GAGGGACGAAGGUCGGAGUCGGUCGGUGAUCAGUGGCUCGUCGGAAGAUGGUGGGGACACACUUGAGGAAUUAUGGAGUCCACCCCCUUGGCAGGAGCAUCUUUUGCAGAGCCUCUAGGAACUUUGCUGUGCUGACUCCCACCAGUAACAUCUACUGCCGGCGGACCUGAGACAGCUGUCGAAGAAGGGUGCCCGGGUAAAGUGGACACCUUGAUUCGUAAUGUAUCCGAACGGGAGGUUAGUAUUCCAAUUCUGAACUUUGAUUCAACACUGUACUGUUAUUGGAGGUUGCUAGUUUAUGCAGGUUCAUCACAGGAAGUUGGAUGGAGGAGAGCUUAGGAAGAUAUGGUGCAUGCAUGACUGGUGGGAUACAGAGUAUGACCAAUAUCGGAAUGUCUAAUGCAAUACUGUCGAGGGAGUUCACAUGAUAUGGUAGUAAGUACCUUAGCGUGACACUGACGGUGAGUAUGAUAUGAUUGAGGGGUAAUGAGUAAUACGAACCAUCUAUUGACACCCCUCCAGAGGUUAUGAUUCGUCAAGUGGCAGAUAUAUGGGUUUUGGCAUGAACAAUAAAUAUAGAGUAACUAUGGUAUAAUGAGAUAUUAGAGU
Phyllopteryx taeniolatus (common seadragon) is the source of this 609-nucleotide long non-coding RNA. RefSeq lists it as uncharacterized. The transcript is spliced from 3 exons. The record is from RefSeq and is a predicted model, not a curated record. NCBI's taxonomy places the organism in Eukaryota, Metazoa, Chordata, Actinopteri, Syngnathiformes, Syngnathidae.